ACCUGUGUCGAAAGUGACUGUGGAGUGACUGGUCUCCAGGUCAUUGAUAGAACAGGAAGAGCAAGUGAAAGUCUUUCCCGUGUUUGCUGGAUUCUGUUCCUCACAAACCCUGAAUCUUUCACACA
Molecule: small nucleolar RNA, 125 nt
Filed under: Sinocyclocheilus anshuiensis
Lineage: Eukaryota; Metazoa; Chordata; Actinopteri; Cypriniformes; Cyprinidae
Description: Small nucleolar RNA SNORA71 (ENSSANG00000030667.1)
Rfam family: Small nucleolar RNA SNORA71
About the family: The members of this family belong to the H/ACA class of snoRNAs which bind a number of proteins (including dyskerin, Gar1p and Nop10p) to form snoRNP complexes. This class of snoRNAs are thought to guide the sites of modification of uridines to pseudouridines by forming direct base pairing interactions with substrate RNAs.
Source: Rfam by way of RNAcentral